RNAcentral lists this ribosomal RNA (973 nucleotides) under Ilyomyces sp. Its description in RNAcentral is "SSU rRNA". It matches the Rfam family "Eukaryotic small subunit ribosomal RNA", at positions 75 to 1115 of the family's 1831-position model. Lineage: Eukaryota; Fungi; Ascomycota; Laboulbeniomycetes; Laboulbeniales; Laboulbeniaceae. The record is from RNAcentral.
UAUACCGUGAAACUGCGAAUGGCUCAUUAAAUCAGUUAUCGUUCAUUUGAUGGUAUCUUACUACUUGGAUAACCGUGGUAAUUCUAGAGCUAAUACAUGCCAAAAACCCCAACUCACGGAGGGGUGUAUUUAUUAGAUUUAAACCAGUGCCUUUUUUGGCUCAUGGUGAUUCAUGAUAACUAAACGCAGCGCAUGGCCUUGUGCCGGCGCGGGAUCAUUCAAAUACCUGCCCUAUCAAGUUUCGAUGUGAGGGUAGUGUCCUCACAUGCUUUUGACGGGUAACGGGGAAUUAGGGUUCGACUCCGGAGAGGGAGCCUGAGAAACGGCUACCACAUCCAAGGAAGGCAGCAGGCGCGCAAAUUACCCAAUCCCGACACGGGGAGGUAGUGACAAGAAAUACCGAUAUAGGAUCCUACUGGAUCUUGUGAUUGGAAUGAGUACAAUUAAACCCAUAACGAGGAACAAUUAAAAUUGUUGCAGUUAAAACGCUCGUAGUUGAACUUUGGGUUUGGCUGACUGGUCCGCCUCACCGCGAGCACUGGUUCGGCUGGGUCUUUCCUCUUGGGGAGCCACAUGCCCUUCAUUUGGGUGUGUUGGGGAACCAGGACUUUUACUUUGAAAAAAUUAGAGUGUUCAAAGCAGGCAUAUGCUCGAAUACAUUAGCAUGGGAUAAUAGAAUAGGACGUGUGGUUCUAUUUUGUUGGUUUCUAGGACCACCGUAAUGAUUGAUAGGGAUGGUUGGGGGCAUCGGUAUUCAAUUGUCAGAGGUGAAAUUCUUGGAUUCAUUGAAGACCAACUACUGCGAAAGCAUUUGCCAAAGAUGUUUUCAUUAAUCAGGGAACGAAAGUUAGGGGAUCGAAGAUGAUCAGAUACCGUCGUAGUCUUAACUGUAAACUAUGCCGACUAGGGAUCGGGUGGUGUUUCUUUGAUGACUCACUCGGCACCUUACGAGAAAUCAAAGUGUUUGGGUUCU